Molecule: transfer RNA, 66 nt
Filed under: Polypedilum heberti
Lineage: Eukaryota; Metazoa; Arthropoda; Insecta; Diptera; Chironomidae
Description: tRNA-Pro
Source: RNAcentral
CAGAAAAUAGUUUAUUAAAAAUAUUAAUUUUGGGGAUUAAAGAUAAAUGAUUAUAUUUUUUUCUGA